UAAUUAACCAAUUCUUUUCUUUUCAGCAACUGGUGGCAAACCAAGUGACUGGUGCUAUUAGAAACACAUACCACAACCGCUAUGUGGCAGGCCCUGGUGCAAAGACGAUCUAUUUAGCCCCAGGCGGUUCAGAUGACUGGGCUUACGACCAAGGAAUUAAGUAUUCUUUUACUUUUGAGCUUCGGGACAAAGGAAGAUAUGGAUUCUUACUUCCUCAGCAUCUCAUUAAGCCGACCUGCUACGAAGCUAUUACCGGGAUCAAAACUAUAGCUUCGCAUGUGAUUGAUAAUAUGUAAAACAUACAAUCCCAUUUUGGCAUUAUACGUUACAGCAUUUCACCGAGUCCACUUAAUUCACAUUGUUUUGCUAUUUUAAUUUCAAGUAAGACUUAUUUUCCAUGCUUUUUUUGUAUGAUUAACAGUGUGGGUAAUGAGCCUGUUCAAACCUGAUUCUGAAGAAUGGCUUUCCAGCUCACAUGAACACGGAAUUGCUCAACUGCUGUUAAAAGCAGCUGCAACUUUCCUCCCCCCCACCAUAUAAACCUGAAGAAGGGUGCUACUACUUUAAAAGGUCAAUUGGAACUCUUAAGGGUUAGGGUUGGAAGACUAAAAUUGUGGCUGCUUUAAUGAGUAGCAAAAUAGUGCUAUCCUUAUGCAAGGUUCAAAACCUUUCUUUUAGAUCAUUUCUGAAAUAUGAUGGCUCUGUAAGAAAUAACUGAUUUCCAUGUAUUGUCUGUAAGUACAUUCAGAGGCAAAUGGCCAGAUUUUAGGCCUUUGUCUAGAAAGAAAGAAAGAAAGAACUCAGCCUUUUGGCCUUGUGUUGUUAACAGUGCACUAUGUGAAAAUAUCAUAGAACCUGCAAGCAGAGGAUCAAACAUGCAUGAAAAUAAGGCUUUGUAGUGGUACUGAUCCCCAACUUAGGAGAAAUAUAAAAUAUUUUCCCUCCUAAUUUGGCAACUGUGUGGUGCUGAGACUAUCAAUGCUUCAGUUAGCAACAUUAAGCAAUUUUAACAAGAACCAAUAAACAAAACCAUCUUGGUAUCUUAUAAUUGUCUUAAGAGCACAAAUAGAUAACACCUGUAACUGGAUCUUUUGUCCAGUAUAGACAAUGAGAAUAUUUACAUUCUUCUUCUUCUUUAUGAUAUAAGCCUCCUGAGCAGGCUAAAUUACACCACCUAUGUGCAAGAGAUAAUUAUAAUCUAACACUGCAGAUGGCAGAACAAAUCUUAAGAAAAAGACCCAAGGGGAAAAUUUCUUCCCCAAAUUAUCCAAUGGCACAGAACACUGAUAAACUUAAAGAAAAGGACCAAUAAUGGAGUGGGAUAUUUAGAGAAAGAAAACAAAGGAAGAGGCAGAAAUAAAACAACCUCAAAUGGUUCUGAAGCUCAGGUUACAGUCUGAAGACCAUCUGUGGAUGGUCUUGGGUGCAGCCAAAGUGAAAUGCAAACUGAAGAAAUAUCUCACCCAAAACUGCACUGCCAAUCGGUCUCUGUUUUUUUUUUUGGAAUAUGGGUGCUCUUAGGGGCUGAUCAUAGGAAAAAAGCAUCCUUGGUUGGGGAGACAAUUGCAGUCAGCAAAACAAGCAGCUAACUAACAAAGUCAGUAUGUUCAAAAAACCCAAAAAGUGUAUAAGCACGCACACACGCGUGCACACACACACACCACUAUUAGCAUCUGCACUUUUAGAUUAUGACCUAAUACUUUUCAAGGACAUUUGGUGAGGAUGUCUAGAUAUAUUUCAAAUGGAACCUUUUUUGCAUAUUAACCACAAACUAAAUUAAACAUCAAGAGUCAGUUUUAGAAGUAGCCUC
Molecule: non-coding RNA, 1810 nt
Organism: Thamnophis sirtalis
Lineage: Eukaryota; Metazoa; Chordata; Lepidosauria; Squamata; Natricidae
Source: RefSeq, a predicted model, not a curated record